CUCCAUCCACGCCAUUCCAACUUCACUAAGUUUUUUUGAUUUAGAACGUUUUAGAAAAUCCUGCAAAGACCUGAAUUUGUCUUUUAAGCACCUGGCUUGCCCUUGAACCCCAGGGCUAAGCUCUUUCCAAGUGGCCAAGGCAUCAAACAAACUUAUAAUAGGAGAAAUACCCAAGUCAUAUGGGCCGACAGAUUCGUGCCAGAGACCAGCGCUCACGAAAGACUCACCAUUCCAGGAACCAUAUUCCAGAAUAUCAGUAUAUAUCUUGAAAA
This 272-nucleotide unclassified non-coding RNA is filed under the name Hevea brasiliensis (rubber tree). Lineage: Eukaryota; Viridiplantae; Streptophyta; Magnoliopsida; Malpighiales; Euphorbiaceae. The record is from RNAcentral.